GGCGGCGUGCCUAACACAUGCAAGUCGUACGAGAAAGUUGGCUUCGGCUGAUGAGUAAAGUGGCGCACGGGUGAGUAACGCGUGGAUAAUCUGCCUUUUAGUUGGGAAUAACGUACCGAAAGGUGCGCUAAUACCGGAUAAUACUGCAUAACUACUGUUGUGUAGUCAAAGAAGGCCUCUGUUUACAAGCUUUUGCUGAAAGAUGAGUCCGCGUACCAUUAGCUAGUUGGUAGGGUAAUGGCCUACCAAGGCUACGAUGGUUAGCUGGUCUGAGAGGAUGAUCAGCCACACUGGAACUGAGACACGGUCCAGACUCCUACGGGAGGCAGCAGUGAGGAAUAUUGCGCAAUGGGGGCAACCCUGACGCAGCAACGCCGCGUGAGUGAGGAAGGUUUUCGGACCGUAAAGCUCUGUCGAGCGGGAAGAAGUGUACCAUGGCUAAUAUCCAUGAUAUUUGACGGUACCGCUAGAGGAAGCACCGGCUAACUCCGUG
RNAcentral lists this ribosomal RNA (493 nucleotides) under uncultured bacterium. RNAcentral's name for it is "bacterial SSU rRNA". It matches the Rfam family "Bacterial small subunit ribosomal RNA", at positions 38 to 507 of the family's 1533-position model. The record is from RNAcentral.